RNAcentral lists this ribosomal RNA (549 nucleotides) under Triticum aestivum (bread wheat). RNAcentral describes it as "partial small subunit ribosomal RNA". Lineage: Eukaryota; Viridiplantae; Streptophyta; Magnoliopsida; Poales; Poaceae. The record is from RNAcentral.
AUGUACUUAGCAAGUGCCACAAGACCUGACAUCUCUUUUGUUGUUAGCAAACUGAGCCGGUUUGUCUCUAAACCAGGAGAUGUGCAUUGGAAAGCUCUAGAGAGAGUUUUGCGUUAUUUGAAAGGAACUGCGAAUUAUGGAAUUCACUACACUGGGCACCCAAAGGUGCUUGAAGGGUAUAGUGACUCAAACUGGAUCUCAGAUGCUGAUGAGAUAAAGGCCACGAGCGGAUAUGUAUUCACUCAUGGAGGUGGCGCUGUUUCUUGGAAGUCUUGCAUGCAGACCAUCUUAACGAGGUCAACAAUGGAAGCGGAACUCACAGCACUAGAUACAGCUACAGUCGAAGCAGAUUGGCUUCGUCGGCUCUUGAAUGACUUGCCGGUUGUUGAGAAACCUGUACCAGGUAUCCUUAUGAACUGUGAUAAUCAAACUGUGAUCACGAAAGUGAACAGUUCAAAGGAUAACAUGAAGUCAUCAAGACACGUUCAGAGAAGGUUAAAGUCUGUCAGAAAAAUGAGAAACUCUGGAGUUAUUGCAUUGGAUUAUAUC